AUUAGGCAUAUUAUAUAAUUGCUUAUGAUAUUAUGCUUCUUUAAUAGCAGAUAUGUUAUUAGACAUAUUAUAUAAUUGCUUAUGACAUUAUGAUUUCUUUAAUAGGAUAUAUAUUACAUUAUGACACUAUUGUUUAAGUAGCAGAUAAAUUUCAGUUUAUAUUUUAUUUAUUAUUUUCUAAUUUUUUGAAUUGAUAAUUAUGUAUAUUCAUAAUAUUUUAUCGACUGCCAUAUCCCUGUGGCGGUUUUUGGGUUGGCCGUCAUGCGCCAUCAAUAACAUAGUUGAUUACUAGUAUUCUUUAUGACAAAUUUCUCUUAUUUUCGCCGAGGAUUAUGGAAUAAUUGGAAUACAUCAUUUGCCGUAAUAUGAUCAUCAACAUGCUCAUGCUUAGUGGAAAGAAGCCUACUAUUGCAGUGCCAACUGAAAUGAGUUUGGAAGAGAUUUAGAGCAGAUUAGGAUCCCUUAUUCCAGUAGAGACGAUUACUCUAAGAGGUGUUGCGUUGAAAGAGCGGCUUGAAGGUAUUACAGGAAGAGUAGCUGACAUAAAGACUCGUGCUCAAGCCAUGAAGUGUCUUUCCACCUUUAGUGAAGCUGUGGGUCCUGAUUUUACUUUUGAGAGGGUCAUUUGAAAAAUAAUCUAAAAUCUCAGAUUGGGGAUUCAGGCCCUGAUAUCUGUAUUGGUGUGCCAACAUCGCAAUGUUGUGGAGCAAUUUGGUAAAUUUGUCAUAUUGGGAAACACGUUUGUAUAAAAUUAUGAAGGAGUGGAAGAAUCCAAAGGUUCUUAGAGAAAAGCCUAUCCUGAUGGUAUCUGUAGUGGACGACUUUGUUACUUCUCAUAUUAAGCUGAAGGAUUUAAUUGACUUUUGCAGGGACGUCGGAUUACAAUCAAUAUAGUGACUUUUGCAGGGACGUCGGAUUACAAUCAAUCUAGUGCAGCUGCAACUAGAAAUGCUACAGUUAAACUUGUCCUUCAUAAUUUUGUUGGUCCAGGGAUAUUCUAUCCGAGGUUAAAACUUCUUUACUAAGUACUCUUGUUGACACCGAGUAUGAAAAGUUCCUGUACGAGGCAUCUGUAGCUCCAACUAAGUCUACAUCAUCUGCGGUGACUGGUGGCAUGGAUGGUCUUCCACGUGAAGAUAUCAGUGAAAGGAUCAGCCCCACGUGAAGAUAUGUUUGUUAAUCAUCAAAUCUGUGAAUGAUUUAAGAGGGCAUGCUGUCAAUCUGAAUUUAUUUUUCUGUCAAAGUCUGCUUGGAAUCUAUUGAAAGUGUAACCAAAAUUCUGGAAGAGGCGAACAAACGUAUUCUGCCGGGUGGACUGGCCAGUUGAGAAGUCAAGCAAGCUACCAUAUAUUACAGCUGUUCUCACAUACGCCAAAGUAGGCGCAGAAGAGCGCAAGAUUUUUUUGAUUGGCUAUCAAGAAAGCUUCCUAGUUUGUUGGCUGAGUUUCCUGAUGUAGGUGUUUGUGUCAACUUUAUGUCUCAAGAAAUAUCUUGGUUACCUAUCCAGGAUAAAUCAGUAGAUGUUCGUAAAUCGGCUGCAUGCUUUAAUGAAAUAUUGAGUGUUUGUGGACAAGAAACGGUAUCAAAAAAUUUGAGAGAUAUACAAGGUUCUGCUUAAGCUAUUAUUUGCUAACGACUGAAGACAUAUGAAGCUUUUCAAGAGAGUUGUACCUAACAAGGGAUACGGGCAAGAGUACAUCUUGCCUGCUCAAGACAUCAACACUAACCUGAAGGAUUCAACCAAGAAUGAUGUCAUGAAAUACUUUGAGAGGAUCUGAUCGGAGGCUCUUAAGUGCUGACUUCAAAAGCAAGUUGAUGGCAUUGAGAUCUUGCAGAAGGUACUUGAAUUUCUUCCCGAGCUUCUAGAUCUGUUCAAAAAUGAGGGCUGUGAGGCAACCAUCUUUCUUCCUUGCUUGGUUGAAAAGAGAUGGAGAAGAAGGCAAGCCUGGAGAAGCUAGAGUUGCCCUAAGACUACUCUCCAUUCGAGAAAAUAUGUGCAGAGAGUGUGUAUUUUUUAUAGUGUGUGUCGAGUGCAUGUAUUUUGUGU
This is a long non-coding RNA of Salvia splendens (bonfire salvia), 2047 nucleotides long. RefSeq lists it as uncharacterized. The transcript is spliced from 13 exons. The record is from RefSeq and is a predicted model, not a curated record. Lineage: Eukaryota; Viridiplantae; Streptophyta; Magnoliopsida; Lamiales; Lamiaceae.